This 496-nucleotide ribosomal RNA is filed under the name uncultured bacterium. Its description in RNAcentral is "bacterial SSU rRNA". It matches the Rfam family "Bacterial small subunit ribosomal RNA", at positions 28 to 507 of the family's 1533-position model. The record is from RNAcentral.
GAUGAACGCUAGCGGCAGGCCUAACACAUGCAAGUCGAGGGGUAACAUAGAAAAGCUUGCUUUUCUGAUGACGACCGGCGCACGGGUGCGUAACGCGUAUACAACCUACCUUUUAGCGGGGAAUAGCCCAGGGAAACUUGGAUUAAUGCCCCAUAGUAUAUGGACUUCUCCUGAAGUUUAUAUUAAACAUUUAUGGCUAUUAGAUGGGUAUGCGUCCUAUUAGUUAGUUGGUAAGGUAACGGCUUACCAAGGCAGCGAUAGGUAGGGGUCCUGAGAGGGAGAUCCCCACACUGGUACUGAGACACGGACCAGACUCCUACGGGAGGCAGCAGUGAGGAAUAUUGGACAAUGGGCGAGAGCCUGAUCCAGCCAUGCCGCGUGCAGGAAGACUGCCCUAUGGGUUGUAAACUGCUUUUACAGAGGAAGAACCACCCCCACGUGUCCCCCCCCCGGGGGUUUGACGGUACUCUGCGAAUAAGGAUCGGCUAACUCCGUG